AACGGAGGUGGCUAGCGUUACUCGGAUUUACUGGGUGUAAAGGGUGCGUAGGCGGCCGCGUGUGUCUGGCGUAAAAUACCACGGCUCAACCGUGGGAAUGCGCUGGAAACUACGUGGCUUGGGUGCGGCAGAGGCAGACGGAACUGCUGGUGUAGGGGUGAAAUCCGUAGAUAUCAGCAGGAACGCCGGUGGAGAAGUCGGUCUGCUGGGCCGUAACCGACGCUGAGGCACGAAAGCUAGGGGAGCGAACCGG
RNAcentral lists this ribosomal RNA (253 nucleotides) under uncultured microorganism. Its description in RNAcentral is "partial 16S ribosomal RNA". It matches the Rfam family "Bacterial small subunit ribosomal RNA", at positions 524 to 776 of the family's 1533-position model. The record is from RNAcentral.